UCUGGGUCACCUCCCACCCGUGUCUAUCGUACCUUGUUGCUUCGGCGGGCCCGCCGUUYCGACGGCCGCCGGGGAGGCCUUGCGCCCCCGGGCCCGCGCCCGCCGAAGACCCCAACAUGAACGCUGUUCUGAAAGUAUGCAGUCUGAGUUGAUUAUCGUAAUCAGUUAAAACUUUCAACAACGGAUCUCUUGGUUCCGGCAUCGAUGAAGAACGCAGCGAAAUGCGAUAAGUAAUGUGAAUUGCAGAAUUCAGUGAAUCAUCGAGUCUUUGAACGCACAUUGCGCCCCCUGGUAUUCCGGGGGGCAUGCCUGUCCGAGCGUCAUUGCUGCCCUCAAGCACGGCUUGUGUGUUGGGCCCCCGUCCCCCUCUCCCGGGGGACGGGCCCGAAAGGCAGCGGCGGCACCGCGUCCGGUCCUCGAGCGUAUGGGGCUUUGUCACCUGCUCUGUAGGCCCGGCCGGCGCCAGCCGACACCCAACUUUAUUUUUCUAAGGUUGACCUCGGAUCAGGUAGGGAUACCCGCUGAACUUAAGCAUAU
This 537-nucleotide ribosomal RNA is filed under the name Aspergillus fumigatus. RNAcentral describes it as "eukaryotic LSU rRNA". Lineage: Eukaryota; Fungi; Ascomycota; Eurotiomycetes; Eurotiales; Aspergillaceae. The record is from RNAcentral.